RNAcentral lists this long non-coding RNA (707 nucleotides) under Rattus norvegicus (Norway rat). RNAcentral describes it as "long non-coding RNA NONRATT027488". Lineage: Eukaryota; Metazoa; Chordata; Mammalia; Rodentia; Muridae. The record is from RNAcentral.
CUUAGCAACGGGAGUCGGCGGCAUUGGCAACCGGAGGUCAUCUUUAAAGGGCCAGGAGUACGUGGUGCGGCCUUCUGGAAGUUCCCGCCGAAACCAGACUGAACAUCCUUUAGAGACAAAAGGUGAGAAAACUGAAGCCCAGAGAGGCUUGGUGAUUUAUCCAGGUUAACACCACCAGGACGUGGGAGAGAGACACUGAAAGACCCGAGUCCUGCCGUGCCAACAUGCUUGGGACCGACCUGCACCACCCUCUCUCAUCAAGCCCUGGUCCGGGCUGGGCUUAGCCUGAGCCCUCGGAUCCUGGAGUUCCUGCAAUGCCAAGUCGCAAGAGGCUGACACUGCCUCGAAUAUUCAUCGUCAGAAAGAAUGGCAACAGGUAGGCAGGAAGGGGAUCCGACUGGGAGGUAAGCAUGGGAGAAUUAAGCCCACCACAAGCCUUUCCAGUGCUCCCAAUGUCUGUAAAUGUAGCUCACAAGCCUGAAGCCUGUGAUUGAUUUGUGGCAGCUCUUCCAGGAGGAGCCUGGCAGCCUCAGAAACCUUUUCUUAAGUUGCCUGAGUCAGCAGGGCCUACCUGGAUGAAAAGGCUCCUCCAGAGCCUUCUGGAUGCCCAGGAAAUUCAGAGUGCAGGGCUGGCCUUUGGCCUGUGUGUGGUGCAGCUGCCUCAGUUUCUCUGCUGGCAGCAUUCUAGAUCCCUCAGCUUUAACCAG